CUACGGAGGGUGCAAGCGUUACUCGGAAUCACUGGGCGUAAAGCGCGCGCAGGCGGCUUGGUAAGUUGGACGUGAAAGCCUACGGCUCAACCGUAGAACUGCAUCCAAAACUGUCAAGCUAGAGUGUGGGAGAGGAAGAUGGAAUUAGUUGUGUAGGGGUAAAAUCCGUAGAGAUAACUAGGAAUACCAAAAGCGAAGGCAAUCUUCUGGAACACUACUGACGCUGAGGCGCGAAAGCGUGGGGAGCAAACAGGAUUAGAAACCCUAGUAGUCC
This 274-nucleotide ribosomal RNA is filed under the name uncultured bacterium. RNAcentral's name for it is "partial 16S ribosomal RNA". It matches the Rfam family "Bacterial small subunit ribosomal RNA", at positions 523 to 796 of the family's 1533-position model. The record is from RNAcentral.